This 610-nucleotide ribosomal RNA is filed under the name uncultured bacterium. Its description in RNAcentral is "bacterial SSU rRNA". The stretch from base 1 to 519 matches the Rfam family "Bacterial small subunit ribosomal RNA", at positions 338 to 873 of the family's 1533-position model. The record is from RNAcentral.
CCUACGGGAGGCAGCAGUGGGGAAUAUUGGACAAUGGGCGAAAGCCUGAUCCAGCAAUGCCGCGUGAGUGAUGAAGGCCUUAGGGUCGUAAAGCUCUUUUACCAGGGAUGAUAAUGACAGUACCUGGAGAAUAAGCUCCGGCUAACUCCGUGCCAGCAGCCGCGGUAAUACGGAGGGAGCUAGCGUUGUUCGGAAUUACUGGGCGUAAAGCGUACGUAGGCGGUUAUUCAAGUCAGAGGUGAAAGCCCGGGGCUCAACCCCGGAACGGCCUUUGAAACUAGAUAGCUAGAGUCUUGGAGAGGUCAGUGGAAUUCCGAGUGUAGAGGUGAAAUUCGUAGAUAUUCGGAAGAACACCAGUGGCGAAGGCGACUGACUGGACAAGUACUGACGCUGAGGUACGAAAGCGUGGGGAGCAAACAGGAUUAGAUACCCUGGUAGUCCACGCCGUAAACGAUGAUAACUAGCUGUCCGGGUACUUGGUAUCUGGGUGGCGCAGCUACGCAUUAAGUUAUUACCGUCCGUCGGGUAGGUACGGUCGUCGAGAAUAAACUACAAUAGAAGUAGUACGGACGUGAGACGUAGACCGAACGGACGACGACGAGGGAGUAGG